UGCGGCACCAGUCGCGAAAACUCCGCAAUACGCGAAAGCGUGACGGGGCCAUCCCGAGUGCCGUCCGCUGAGGAUGGCUUUUCCCCAGUGUAGAUAGCUGGGGGAAUAAGGAGAGGGCAAGUCUGGUGUCAGCCGCCGCGGUAAUACCAGCUCUCCGAGUGGUGGGGACGUUUAUUGGGCUUAAAGCAUCCGUAGCCGGCUGGGCAAGUCCCCUGUUAAAUCUAACGAUUCAAUCGUUGGAUUGCGGGGGAUACUGCUCGGCUAGGGGGCGAGAGAGGCCGACGGUAUUCCCGGGGUAGGGGUGAAAUCCUAUAAUCCCGGGAGGACCACCAGUGGCGAAGGCUGUCGGCUAGAACGCGCCCGACGGUGAGGGAUGAAAGCUGGGGGAGCGAACCGGAUUAGAUACCCGGGUAGUCC
This 417-nucleotide ribosomal RNA is filed under the name uncultured crenarchaeote. RNAcentral describes it as "partial 16S ribosomal RNA". It matches the Rfam family "Archaeal small subunit ribosomal RNA", at positions 328 to 747 of the family's 1478-position model. Lineage: Archaea; Thermoproteati; Thermoproteota. The record is from RNAcentral.